CCUACGGGUGGCAGCAGUCGAGAAUCUUUCACAAUGGGGGAAACCCUGAUGGUGCGACGCCGCGUGGGGGAAUGAAGGUCUUCGGAUUUUAAACCCCUGUCAUGUGGGAGCAAAUUAAAAAGAUAGUACCACAAGAGGAAGAGACGGAUAACUCUGUGACCGCAGCCGCGGUAAUACAGAGGUCUCAAGCGUUGUUCGGAAUCACUGGGCGUAAAGCGAGCGUAGGCUGUUUCGUAAGUCGGGUGUGAAAGGCGCGGGCUCAACCCUGGGACGGCAUAUGAUACUGGGGGACUAGAGUAAUGGAGGGGGAAUCGGAAUUCUCGGUGUAGCAGUGAAAUGCGUAGAUAUCGAGAGGAACACUCGUGGCGAAGGCGGGUUACUGGACAUUAACUGACGCUGAGGCACGAAGGCCAGGGGAGCGAAAGGGAUUAGAUACCCCAGUAGUC
RNAcentral lists this ribosomal RNA (446 nucleotides) under uncultured bacterium. RNAcentral describes it as "partial 16S ribosomal RNA". It matches the Rfam family "Bacterial small subunit ribosomal RNA", at positions 338 to 795 of the family's 1533-position model. The record is from RNAcentral.